AUAAAACACUUUUCAUAGUAUAUAGUAUAAGGAACAUUUUGUACGUUGUCAUCUCUUUUGAUGAGCUGACUAUGUGUAUGAGCUGAAUAGAGUAUGGACGUUAAUCGAGAAGCCUCAUGUAACCAAUUUAACAAAGAGCAAGGAUGACGCUACAUUAGAGACCAAAUUACUGUUUUUUCAUCUUGGAAACCUUGUAGAGAUGAUACUCUCCUAUGAAGUGUGGCGAUCGCCACGACCACCCAAUUCGUUUUUUUUGUGAAGUUCUAGAACAAGAGGGCCUAAAAGCAACCAGUGAAGUUCAAAAUACAGAAAUGAGAGUAGAGUUCAGAUCAUUCCUGUCUACAAAGUAAUGUUGCUAGGAGCAGCGAAUCCAGAGUGGUUCAUCUCUAAACCGACUUCACCACUAGAGGAGCAAUCUUUGUUGGAAAUACAAGCUGAAGAGAUAGGUGAGAGGCAGUUUGUAUCAACAGUCGAGGAGUCUGAUGUGUUCUUUAUCGGUAAGAAGAAGGUUGCUGGUGCAGGGUCAACAGAAGCUAAGGUACUCUUCCAUAGCUUUCAUUUCCUUCUACUUUGAGGACAAAGUACUUCUUCAAAGAGGGAGUAAUGAUACGUACCCAAAUAAAGUUAUUGGGCCUUGUUAUCUUGUUAUUGGGUUGCUAUUGUAUUAGCAUCUUAAGCCUUUUAAUUUCUGGAUUUAGUACUCUUUCGCUUACGAGAAAGGUGGUCGAAAGAUCAAUUAAAAAAUCGACAAUCAUCUUCUUCCUCAAUUUCUUCUGAUUUUUCAUCUCUUUCUUCUACUUCUCACCUAAUUUAUGUUACUUUCUUGAUAGAACUGAAUCGGGUUCUAUCAGGUGACAUCCCUAGAAGCGAU
Molecule: small RNA, 871 nt
Filed under: Arabidopsis thaliana (thale cress)
Lineage: Eukaryota; Viridiplantae; Streptophyta; Magnoliopsida; Brassicales; Brassicaceae
Description: ATSL194410
Source: RNAcentral